Molecule: ribosomal RNA, 413 nt
Filed under: uncultured bacterium
Lineage: Bacteria
Description: partial 16S ribosomal RNA
Rfam family: Bacterial small subunit ribosomal RNA
Source: RNAcentral
UAGGGAAUCUUCCACAAUGGACGCAAGUCUGAUGGAGCAACGCCGCGUGAGUGAAGAAGGUUUUCGGAUCGUAAAGCUCUGUUGUUGGUGAAGAAGGAUAGAGGCAGUAACUGGUCUUUAUUUGACGGUAAUCAACCAGAAAGUCACGGCUAGCUACGUGCCAGCAGCCGCGGUAAUACGUAGGUGGCAAGCGUUGUCCGGAUUUAUUGGGCGUAAAGCGAGCGCAGGCGGAAUGAUAAGUCUGAUGUGAAAGCCCACGGCUCAACCGUGGAACUGCAUCGGAAACUGUCAUUCUUGAGUGCAGAAGAGGAGAGUGGAACUCCAUGUGUAGCGGUGGAAUGCGUAGAUAUAUGGAAGAACACCAGUGGCGAAGGCGGCUCUCUGGUCUGCAACUGACGCUGAGGCUCGAAAGC